Diospyros lotus (date-plum) is the source of this 517-nucleotide long non-coding RNA. RefSeq lists it as uncharacterized. The transcript has 4 exons. Lineage: Eukaryota; Viridiplantae; Streptophyta; Magnoliopsida; Ericales; Ebenaceae. The record is from RefSeq and is a predicted model, not a curated record.
UUAAACCUGAAACUACAACGGAGCUUAACUGUAGAAGAGAUUGAAAGAAAGAAGGCGGUCUGUUUUCCCCUGCUUCCUCGAUUUCCAAGUCUUCUCUUCGUUUCUCAAGUGGAGACAUUCUCUGGAGUUGACGCAAAUGGAACUUCAUAUCCCAAAGAAGCAGCAAGUGUUCAUACCUUUCUAGUUGUCAUAGAGCAAGGGAGGAAAAGAGGGAUGGAGAAAAGGAAAAGUACAUUGAGAUCCAAAGGAAACUCACAGGUACCAUUUUCCUUUCUGGCUUUAAUAGAGAGAGAUGUGCUGGAAACCAGAAUGCCUUCAUUGACUGAUCACAGAAAGAGGCUUUAUGCAGCAUUUCAGGUUGAAGAAAAACAUAAGCACGUUUUCAAGCAAAGAUUUAAGAACUAUAUUCAACUAUUGGUUGCCACGUGCCCCCACAACCAGCUGAAUUCCUGGCCCUGCUAAUGGCUGUAAUGUAAACACUGGUUUUGUUGUCAGCCUUAAAACAUGAAGUUUAUUG